GCGACCUCACAGGGAGUUGUUGGGCAUGCAUUCUCGCCUGGCCACCACUGCAAGGGGCAGAGUCCCAACGACACACCAGCAGCAACAGGAGUUGGCGUACGACAGCCCCUGUCCCUCGACGCUCGUCUUCCAAUGGGCUGCACGAGCUUCAGGCAUGCAGCAGCAGGUGGCUUUGGAGAUUUCCAACAAAAGGUGUGGGAGACCAGUGAGUAGCCGCAGACCACCACCGGAAGGUAGUGUGGAUCUCUGACACAUGGCGUGGGCAGCAACCAUCAUUUGGUCGGACAGGCAGCACGUGAGCCAGACCUUUCUUCUUCUAUAAAACCCAUUGUCGAUUGUAAAUUGAGGCGCUUUUCGAUCUACCUUGAAAAACUAAGGAUCACCAUAGCAAUCCAUGAUCGAUUUUAGCACCAAUCGACUCUGUCCUUCAUUUGGAAACAACUCUCUAUUUCCUGGCGAGAAGACUCUCUAGUAGAUCUGUUUAAACGCCCACCGCUUGUUACUUCAGUAGUCUUUCACCCUCCCAAAGCUCAGACCAGAUCAUUUGCCUCCUGCAGUUUCAAAGGAGCCCAUGCUCAACUGGUACCAUGACUUCCGCCAGUCGAAAUCAACAAAACUCCUGCCGCCAGUCUAACCCCUACAGUAACCCUCCCCUGUUCGCAUGAAGGAGGGAACAACAGCUGUUCAACAAGGUGGCGUUGUCACCUCCAAUUACCAAUUACUGUAAAAUUGCACAGUCUGAAUCAUCGAAGUGUUACGAUUCCAACACGCUGGAGCUCGACUGGAGAAGUGGUCGGAGUCAGUCGGAAUCGCAAGUUUUUCAGUCCCCUAUUUUUGUAACUAUUGUCCCUGCCACUGCAAAAUACAACUAUGUUCAAAAAUGCCAUAUCUUCGGAUCCUGAUAUUGGAUAAUUACUAGAGUAGGCUUUUCAUCUUUCUGACUCCCGCACUGUUCCAACAAGCCAUAACACAUACACAUCCGAGCUGAGAGCAGAAAUCUGUAGAUCUGCAAAGCAGGCUCUCUCUCUCGAUAGACCCAGCCUGUGAAGCUGCGACAGCCGCAGGAACAGUCUCUGUUUUGCGGCCUUUGCCAGCUGCUUCAGUCACCGGUUCACUCUCUCGCUAGUUCCAUUACAUUCCUAACUUCUCCACCUUUCCAACGAGCCCAGGCACGUCUGAUUCUGACAUCUGAAUCAACCGCAUCAGUUCAUGGAAGCAGCACCCGAUCUGUGGCUGUCUCAGGCGAGAACCAAAGCCUCGUGGGUCUUGGUGGCUGAAUCAUUCCAGCAUCUUUCAGUUGACCAAUCCUCUGUAUUGGUCUGUGUCUGGUAAUCAAAUCUGCCACUUUUCCAACUGAUUUGUGCCCUGUUGAAGAGCAUUAACUGUUGUAUUCUUGGUUGCACAAUUGAGAGGAAGAGGAGCUGAACUUACGGUGUACCCUGCUGCUUCUCAAGGCGCUGCUUUUCUAGCAAUAUCCCUAGUCACCGAUGACCGCCCUAAGAUCGUCCGAAGUAAGAGUUCCGCUUCUAAAUCAUUCUCAUUAGAGGAAAACGAGAGAAGGGAAGAGAAAAAGCUGAAGAACGAGAGAAUAGAUGAGGAAAAAAGGGGGCAGACGAGAUAUUGAGAAAUAGAGGAAGAGAAGAAUGAUAGAGAAGGGAUGACAUAAACAGGAAAGCUAAACACACCUUUUCCGGUGCCGGUCAACAAAACAGUGGCGGACUUUGCCGUUGCUGGCUACCACAUGAUGACGUCGAACCAGAGGCGCACAGAUGCUAGCAUUCCGCAGUCCUGCUCUAGCCUUUAGUCAUGUGAACAAAAGAAGAGGAGGAACUAAGGAAGGCCAGACACAAAGAGAGAAAACCCUUGGGCAUCACAGUCAUUUGCAGUUUCCGCAAGGAGUAAAAUCAGCUGAUGCGGUCAAACUUUUUUUCAGUUUUGUGACAGCACUUAUCAAGCUGAGGAAGGAGCAGAUUUCAUAGAUUCACAGCUGCCAUACUAAAUUAUGAUGAUGUACCAUUGCUAAUGUUCUAAUGUUAUAUUUGAGUCUAACUGUUGAAUAUUGUGUAUGAAUAUGUUGAUGUAAUGUUAUAUGCACUUGGUUUAUAUAACUCUUGAUGUUAAGGUAUAGAUGUAUAUGUAGGAAG
Molecule: long non-coding RNA, 2144 nt
Organism: Nymphaea colorata (pocket water lily)
Lineage: Eukaryota; Viridiplantae; Streptophyta; Magnoliopsida; Nymphaeales; Nymphaeaceae
Exons: 4
Source: RefSeq, a predicted model, not a curated record